RNAcentral lists this small RNA (132 nucleotides) under Klebsiella variicola. Its description in RNAcentral is "RtT sRNA". It matches the Rfam family "RtT RNA". From Rfam's summary of the family: This family represents a bacterial cis-regulatory element known as RtT RNA. The exact function of RtT is unknown although it is thought that it may be involved in changing the cellular response in relation to amino acid starvation. Lineage: Bacteria; Pseudomonadati; Pseudomonadota; Gammaproteobacteria; Enterobacterales; Enterobacteriaceae. The record is from RNAcentral.
UAUUCUACCCUACGGGGAAGGAUGAGAAGCUUCGACUAAGGUUCGACUCGAGCGUAGCGAGAGAACGUUGCCGCAGGCAAUGGCCCGAAGGGCGAGGAGCGAUAGCGACGAGUUAUCCUUCCCCCUCUAUUC